Gopherus evgoodei (Goodes thornscrub tortoise) is the source of this 1277-nucleotide long non-coding RNA. RefSeq lists it as uncharacterized. NCBI's taxonomy places the organism in Eukaryota, Metazoa, Chordata, Testudines, Testudinidae. The record is from RefSeq and is a predicted model, not a curated record. The transcript is spliced from 4 exons.
CUACAUUCUGGUCUCCAUUUUAACAUUCCUCUGGAUUCUUCAGAAGACAGUAGCAAAAAUAAAGCCUUUUCUGGAGUGUGUUAAAGAUCCAGAUCCUCAGCCAGUGUAAACCCAUUACCUGCUUUAAAGCUAAGUCAAUUUACACCAACUUUGGAUCUAGCCAAAUGCUUUUUUAAAUGACUGUGGCAAUAUAUUGCAUGGAUGCAUAAUUAUCUUUCAAAUCAGUUUUAGUGCCUCAACAACAAAACCAGCAAAUUGCCAUGAAAAGGGAAAUUUAUAUACACUUUUUGUUUGUUUGUGUCUAUGUGGGUUUUUUCACUGAUACUUAUACCUCUUUUACAGAUCAGCUGUAUUGGGCAUGAAUUUCAGUGCAUUUCCAUGGCCACCAGGCUUCUGAAGGGAAGUUCCACCCUGCAGAGAAGUAACUGCCCUUAUAAGUGCAAAGCUCAAGUAUACUGGCGGGAAUUUUGGACACACAAAAUAUGAAAUAUGCACAUCAGACAAUAUUAUUAGCUACCGAGAUAAGUAAAUCCAGAUAUAGCUUUGCCUUCUAGCUGUUGUUCAAUCAAUAGCAUUGCGCAAUAUUUGGCAUUCCAUUGCCUCAGAAACCAAGACCUACGUGAGUGAAUUGUUCUCAUUUCAUGGCAUCUAGCCAGACCAGGAUCUUUUCUGUUUUUCACCCAAAUCCAUAUGGCUGCCAAUCCUCAGGCCUAGCCUCCAGCAGUAUGCAGCCUACUUGGGCUUAUCCCCUGGGAGAGGAGCGAGUUUCAGCAGUGAAGAAGAAACAUCAGUGAUGCCUCCACCCCAGCCAAGCUGGCUUGUCCCUUGCCCAAGAUCUCGCUCCCAAAGGGCUCUUUCUCUUGUUGUUGUUUUUCUUUGAAACGCCUUCAUGUUAAGCUGGCUAAUUAUGAGACUCUCCUGACGUCUCACAUUGACCCUGGGCCAUGCUCCAGGAGUAACUGCCCAAGCCAGGCAAUCAUCCCAAGCCUGCUGCUCAUUAAAUGAAGCAUGAGGCAGUGGGAUCUCCAAAAGGCCUGGCCAUGAUGAGAACUGGGCAGGGCAUGAGAGAGAAAAGCCGCACACUAAUGGAUUAAUGAUUUAUUCUCCUGAUGUUAACAUUAAAGUUAUGAUCCACUUUCUACUAAAUCACAGCUAAUGUUAGCAGCAGAUGCAUCCUAUUAGAACAUGCAGUCCAGCCUUUGCCUGUGGGGGAUUGUCCCAUACAAUAGCUAUUCCAGUGCUAGACACAAUUAAAUUUUAUAAUAAUUUUUUGGUAA